GAGACAGCAGUCGCCGCGGUAAUACGAAGGUGGCUAGCGUUGCUCGGAAUUACUGGGCGUAAAGGGAGCGUAGGCGGACAUUUAAGUCAGGGGUGAAAUCCCAGAGCUCAACUCUGGAACUGCCUUUGAUACUGGGUGUCUUGAGUGUGAUAGAGGUAUGUGGAACUCCGAGUGUAGAGGUGAAAUUCGUAGAUAUUCGGAAGAACACCAGUGGCGAAGGCGACAUACUGGAUCAUUACUGACGCUGAGGCUCGAAAGCGUGGGGAGCAAACAGGAUUAGAUACCCCAGUAGUCCCUGUCUCUUAUAC
RNAcentral lists this ribosomal RNA (308 nucleotides) under uncultured bacterium. RNAcentral's name for it is "partial 16S ribosomal RNA". It matches the Rfam family "Bacterial small subunit ribosomal RNA", at positions 505 to 807 of the family's 1533-position model. The record is from RNAcentral.